GUGCUCCUCCGCCAAUUCCUGUCACGACUCCGAGGGCGAGUUGAAUGAUCUUCUUCAUCUGCCUCCGAUUGUUAGGUGCGCGAGAAGGGCAAUAACGAUGCCCUCCGUGGCGUGAACUUUGCUUUUUUCAGAGGGCAGCGGAGGCUUUGCUUCGCACAUUGCUGUUGCUUCAUUAGUGCGCCCGAAAGGGCGGGAGGCCGUAUGGCGAACGAUCGAAACAGGAAGGACCAGAGCUCAUCGGGAUCGUCGAGCUCGCGAAACCAGGAUCCGGCUAAUCCCGAUUCGGGAAUGAGUGGAUCGACCUCAUCAGGCUCAGACUCGGGCUUCGGCGACGAGAGCCUCGACUCUGAUAACCUCGGAUCGACGGGAUCAAGCGGCUCCAGCAGCGGAAGCAGAUCAGGUAGCUCAGGUAGCUCAGGUAGCUCAGGUAGCUCGGGUAGCUCGAGCAGCUCGCGCAGCUCAGGCGGAUCUGAUCGCGGAAGCGGAUCUGGCGGAUCGCGUUAAGCCAUUCGACAUGACAAAAGGUGCACCUUGCGGGGUGCACCUUUUUUUGUCUAUGUUUCGAGAGUCAUUCGCCGUUUCUGCUCGCUGCGUCCCGAACUCUCGGCGAGAAUAUUUGUCAGAGUUUCCAGAUGUCUGGCGAGGUCUUUCACUUCGCUUCGCGGCAUGCUGCGCAGCGCAGCAGUCAACCUGUCCUCUCGUCCCUUUGGGGAUUUCCGCAGCAGCGCACGUCCGGCAGGAUCAACCGGAG
RNAcentral lists this ribosomal RNA (751 nucleotides) under uncultured archaeon. RNAcentral describes it as "partial 16S ribosomal RNA". The record is from RNAcentral.